Long non-coding RNA from Acinonyx jubatus (cheetah), 1409 nucleotides. RefSeq lists it as uncharacterized. NCBI's taxonomy places the organism in Eukaryota, Metazoa, Chordata, Mammalia, Carnivora, Felidae. The transcript has 3 exons. The record is from RefSeq and is a predicted model, not a curated record.
GUUGCCUAGCACCUUUAGGAAGAACUCAAGAACUGGCCUUUCUUUUGAAGGGUCCUUAGAAUCUAGGGGGCUGGCUUAGAUCUGGGGAGAGGCUACAUUUUGGCUUGGGUGGGAAUGGGGUUCUCAGGAAGUAGAGUUUGUAGUUUGAAUGGGAAGGGUGAAGUGGUGAUUUGGGGUCCUUGCCCUAGUCCAAGCUGCUGUCAACUCAUUAUAAGAUCUCCAGCCUUUACCCUUUGAGCCUAGUUUGUUUCUCUGUAAGAACAGGCUGGACUAACCUCUGAAGAAAGCAAUGCCAGCCGGUGAGAAACAUCUGGAAUCACAGGGCAGUGAGGCCUCGGUAGGGGGCUGCCUUCCUCAGCUUAGCAGUGACUGUCAGAAGGCAGAGAUUAACCAACCAUUUGUCCUUGAAACCUCAAAAAGGGUGAACUACUCAUGCUUCAAGACUCAUGUGCCAUUUUCUCCGAGGGACAGGAUCUCUGGCCCAUCCUCCCGGCAGUGAGCUGGCCAUGUGUGCCCAUACCUACCUUGGACUUACUCUAUAAUAGAAUUUAUGAAAUUGAACGGAUUUGCUUAUGUAUCUGGCUCCCUCCUUUUGACUGCACACUCGCUUAGAUUUUUUUUUUCUCAAGUGUCGCCCUCAUUGGCAAGCCUUUUGGGAUCCCCUCCCCAGAGCUAGAUAGCUCCCCUGUGCUCCCGCGUAUCCAGAGCUCACGGAUAUGACGGCGCUUACCACACUGUACUUCACAGCACUCGUCUACCACCCAGACAGCGCCCUCCCUGGAGGGCAGGGCCUGAGUCUCAUUUAUCUCUGCACGUCCAGAACUGGCAACGUAACUGGCAGAGAUUACUCAACAAAUGUCUGUUGAAUGAUGAGAAAAUCAACUUCCCACACUUCCUCAUCUCCCUGAGUGGUUCUUACGUGCAUCUGGCUGGCCCCUGUCCUUUUUGCUGACACUUAGAGAAUUUCAAAAUAGUCCGGCUGCCAACCUCCGCUCUCUCACGGCUGAGAGCUAUGAUUGUGUGCUCUGAGAUUCACCACCUUCAAGCCCAUCGCGAAGGACUCAUUUAUUCCAAAUGAUGUGGCUUCCUUCUCUCAAGCUAGAAGGAGGCCUGGUACAGAACCAGGAACCGGUGAACUUCUCAAGAUUGGAAGAGGCAAGAGAGACAUGGGGCUGGUAUCUUAGCACGUCCAUGGGAAAAAGGAACGUUUGGAAGUUUUCCCCUACCCCAUAGUGCUCCUGAGUUUUCAGGGAUAGGAUCCUUGUUCCUGGAGCCCUUACCUGGUGCGACGAGGGGGUGGGUAGCCACAGCGGGCACCAUCCGACUGAGCCCAGCCCGGCCCUCCAUGCUCCCUGGCACACCGUUGUUACCAUCUCCUUUCUUGAGUGGCUCCAUCACACUGUCACUUA